UCCUUUGCUCCCCUUUUUCUCCUCCAGCACAAUCCUAUCACCGCGUAGCAUCCUCAGGAUUCCUCCAUUAGCUACCGUCCUGUAGCCUUUCGAAUCCAGUCUGCUAAGUGAGAUAAGACUCCGCCUGAAAUCGGAUAUGUAUCGGACCUCCCCCAAUCUCAUCACUGCACCAUCAUGUGUCUUCCAGCUGACCGUCCCAAUGCC
RNAcentral lists this long non-coding RNA (204 nucleotides) under Elaeis guineensis (African oil palm). RNAcentral's name for it is "long non-coding RNA (EGUI_LNC035117)". The record is from RNAcentral. Lineage: Eukaryota; Viridiplantae; Streptophyta; Magnoliopsida; Arecales; Arecaceae.